This 307-nucleotide ribosomal RNA is filed under the name Priestia megaterium. RNAcentral describes it as "bacterial LSU rRNA". It matches the Rfam family "Bacterial large subunit ribosomal RNA", at positions 1652 to 1955 of the family's 2925-position model. Lineage: Bacteria; Bacillati; Bacillota; Bacilli; Caryophanales; Bacillaceae. The record is from RNAcentral.
AACCGACACAGGUAGGCGAGGAGAGAAUCCUAAGGUGAUCGAGAGAACUCUCGUUAAGGAACUCGGCAAAAUGACCCGUAACUUCGGGAGAAGGGGUGCUCUGGUAGGGUGUAUAGCCCGAGAGAGCCGCAGUGAAUAGGCCCAGGCGACUGUUUAGCAAAAACACAGGUCUCUGCGAAGCCGCAAGGCGAAGUAUAGGGGCUGACGCCUGCCCGGUGCUGGAAGGUUAAGAGGAGGGGUUAUCCUUUGGGAGAAGCUCUGAAUCGAAGCCCCAGUAAACGGCGGCCGUAACUAUAACGGUCCUAAG